Molecule: ribosomal RNA, 878 nt
Filed under: uncultured bacterium
Lineage: Bacteria
Description: bacterial SSU rRNA
Rfam family: Bacterial small subunit ribosomal RNA
Source: RNAcentral
AGAGUUUGAUCAUGGCUCAGGACGAACGCUGGCGGCGUGCUUAACACAUGCAAGUCGAACGAGGUUCAAUCAAUCGCAAGAACGAGGACGACCUAGUGGCGAACGGGUGCGUAACACGUGAGGAACCUAUCCCAGUCUCUGGAAUAACAAGUGGAAACACUUGCUAAUACCAGAUGCCGUUGGAACACCGCAUGGUGAACCAACGAAAGAUUUAUCGGUCUGGGAGGGCCUCGCGGCCUAUCAGCUAGUUGGUGAGGUAACGGCUCACCAAGGCGUCGACGGGUAGCUGGUCUGAGAGGAUGAUCAGCCACACUGGGACUGAGACACGGCCCAGACUCCUACGGGAGGCAGCAGUGGGGAAUCUUGCACAAUGGGCGAAAGCCUGAUGCAGCAACGCCGCGUGCGGGAAGAAGGCCUUAGGGUUGUAAACCGCUUUCAGCAGGGAAGAAAAUGACGGUACCUGUAGAAGAAGGUGCGGCCAACUACGUGCCAGCAGCCGCGGUGACACGUAGGCACCAAGCGUUGUCCGGAUUUAUUGGGCGUAAAGAGCUCGUAGGCGGUUCGGUAAGUCGGGUGUGAAAACUCUGGGCUCAACCCAGAGCCGCCACCUGAUACUGCUGUGACUAGAGUGCGGUAGGGGAGCGGGGAAUUCCUGGUGUAGCGGUGAAAUGCGCAGAUAUCAGAGGAACACCAGUGGCGAAAGCGCCGCUCUGGGCCGUGACUGACGCUGAGGAGCGAAAGCGUGGGUAGCAAACAGGAUUAGAUACCCUGGUAGUCCACGCCGUAAACGUUGGGCACUAGGUGUGGGUCUCUACCAACGAGAUCCGCGCCGUCGCUACGCAUUAAGUGCCCGCCUGGGGAGUACGGUCGCAGACUAA